This 441-nucleotide ribosomal RNA is filed under the name uncultured bacterium. Its description in RNAcentral is "partial 16S ribosomal RNA". It matches the Rfam family "Bacterial small subunit ribosomal RNA", at positions 338 to 795 of the family's 1533-position model. The record is from RNAcentral.
CCUACGGGUGGCAGCAGUGGGGAAUAUUGCACAAUGGGGGAAACCCUGAUGCAGCAACGCCGCGUGGGUGAAGGAGCGUUUCGGCGCGUAAAGCCCUGUCAGCGGGGAAGAAGAAAGACGGUACCCGACCAAGAAGCCCCGGCUAACUACGUGCCAGCAGCCGCGGUAAUACGUAGGGGGCGAGCGUUAUCCGGAAUUACUGGGUGUAAAGGGAGCGUAGACGGCGAGGUAAGCCUGAAGUGGAAGCCCGCGGCCCAACCGCGGAACUGCUUUGGGAACUGUUUUGCUGGAGUAUGGGAGGGGUAAGCGGAAUUCCUGGUGUAGCGGUGAAAUGCGUAGAUAUCGCGCAGAACUCCGAUUGCGAAGGCAGCAUGCCGGCUCCACACUGACGCUGAGGCACGAAAGCGUGGGUAUCGAACAGGAUUAGAUACCCGUGUAGUC